GAUGAACGCUGGCGGCGUGCCUAAUACAUGCAAGUCGAGCGAACAGAUAAGGAGCUUGCUCCUUUGACGUUAGCGGCGGACGGGUGAGUAACACGUGGGUAACCUACCUAUAAGACUGGAAUAACUCCGGGAAACCGGGGCUAAUGCCGGAUAACAUUUAGAACCGCAUGGUUCUAAAGUGAAAGAUGGUUUUGCUAUCACUAAUUGAUGGACCCGCGGCGUAUUAGCUAGUUGGUCAGGUAACGGCUUACCAAGGCAACGAUACGUAGCCGACCGUAGAGCGUGCUCUGCCACACUGGAUUUUCGACACGGUCCAAACUCCUACGGGAGGCAGCAGUAGGGAAUCUUCCGCAAUAGGCGACAGCAUGUCGGAUCGGCGACGCGUGAGUAACGAAGCUCUUCUAAUCUUAAAAAUCUUUUAUGAGGGAAGAACAAAUGUGUAAGUAACUGUGCACGUCUUGACGGUACCUAAUCAGAACGCCACGGCUAACUACGUG
This 497-nucleotide ribosomal RNA is filed under the name uncultured bacterium. Its description in RNAcentral is "partial 16S ribosomal RNA". It matches the Rfam family "Bacterial small subunit ribosomal RNA", at positions 28 to 507 of the family's 1533-position model. The record is from RNAcentral.